This 496-nucleotide ribosomal RNA is filed under the name uncultured bacterium. Its description in RNAcentral is "partial 16S ribosomal RNA". It matches the Rfam family "Bacterial small subunit ribosomal RNA", at positions 29 to 507 of the family's 1533-position model. The record is from RNAcentral.
AUGAACGCUGGCGGCGUGCCUAAUACAUGCAAGUCGAGCGAACGGACGAGAAGCUUGCUUCUCUGAUGUUAGCGGCGGACGGGUGAGUAACACGUGGAUAACCUACCUAUAAGACUGGGAUAACUUCGGGAAACCGGAGCUAAUACCGGAUAAUAUUUUGAACCGCAUGGUUCAAAAGUGAAAGACGGUCUUGCUGUCACUUAUAGAUGGGUCCGCGCUGCAUUAGCUAGUUGGUAAGGUAACGGCUUACCAAGGCAACGAUGCAUAGCCGACCUGAGAGGGUGAUCGGCCACACUGGAACUGAGACACGGUCCAGACUCCUACGGGAGGCAGCAGUAGGGAAUCUUCCGCAAUGGGCGAAAGCCUGACGGAGCAACGCCGCGUGAGUGAUGAAGGUCUUCGGAUCGUAAAACUCUGUUAUUAGGGAAGAACAUAUGUGUAAGUAACUGUGCACAUCUUGACGGUACCUAAUCAGAAAGCCACGACUAACUACGUG